GAUGAAGAACGCAGCGAAAUGCGAUAAGUAAUGUGAAUUGCAGAAUUCAGUGAAUCAUCGAAUCUUUGAACGCACAUUGCGCCCGCCAGUAUUCUGGCGGGCAUGCCUGUUCGAGCGUCAUUUCAACCAUCAAGCCCCCGGCUUGUGUUGGGGACCUGCGGCUGCCGCAGGCCCUGAAAACCAGUGGCGGGCUCGCUAGUCACUCCGAGCGUAGUAGUUACAUCUCGCUCAGGGCGUGCUGCGGGUUCCGGCCGUUAAAAGCCUUAUUUACCCAAGGUUGUCCUCGGAUCAGGUAGGAAGACCCGCUGAACUUAAGCAUCUCAAUAAGCGGAGGA
This 335-nucleotide unclassified non-coding RNA is filed under the name soil metagenome. RNAcentral's name for it is "partial contains 5.8S ribosomal RNA, internal transcribed spacer 2, and large subunit ribosomal RNA". The stretch from base 1 to 120 matches the Rfam family "5.8S ribosomal RNA", at positions 35 to 154 of the family's 154-position model. The record is from RNAcentral.